Long non-coding RNA from Homo sapiens (human), 554 nucleotides. Ensembl annotates it as EXOSC10 antisense RNA 1. Its record names the gene EXOSC10-AS1. NCBI's taxonomy places the organism in Eukaryota, Metazoa, Chordata, Mammalia, Primates, Hominidae. The record is from Ensembl.
AGCCUCGUUUUAUGAGUUGCUGGGGUAGCUGAUCAGUACUGUCUGCCCUUGGGAAGAAAUGAGGUGAGGAAAAAGAUAUGCAAAGGAAUGGACUCCUGGAUGGGCCUGUCUUCUCAGCAGAGGAGGAGGUCAGAAACAGGCGCCACCAGCGUGCUAAAAUCCUCCAGGAGCAGUUCUUACCUUGCCAGACGGGGUCUGUUUAUUUGGAUCAAACUGAGAAGAAACUUUGGAUUUGCUGUUUCCUGAAAGGUAAGCUCCUGAAGAAAGCGUCUAGCUCCAACUGUGCUUCCUCCCUCCAGUACCCUCUGAACUCCUCCAAGCAGACGUUGUUUCCUGCAGACAUCGCUGGAACCAUUCUGGUUAACACAGAGUGGGAACUCAGUACACAUUUGUGAAGUGAACUCCUGGAAGAGCUCUUGUGAGGGAGGCACCGAAUUAUCAGGCAGCUCAAGAGAUAGAUUCACUCUCCUGAAAUUAGAGAUGGGAUGCCCUUAAUACAAUUCAUUCCACCCAUUAAGUCUUCAAUAAAUGUUCAGCAUAUCCAGUUAAGAGAA